RNAcentral lists this ribosomal RNA (540 nucleotides) under uncultured bacterium. Its description in RNAcentral is "bacterial SSU rRNA". It matches the Rfam family "Bacterial small subunit ribosomal RNA", at positions 63 to 598 of the family's 1533-position model. The record is from RNAcentral.
CGAACGGCAGCACGGGGGCAACCCUGGUGGCGAGUGGCGAACGGGUGAGUAAUACAUCGGAACGUGUCCUGUAGUGGGGGAUAGCCCGGCGAAAGCCGGAUUAAUACCGCAUACGCUCUACGGAGGAAAGGGGGGGAUCUUAGGACCUCCCGCUACAGGGGUGGCCGAUGGCAGAUUAGCUAGUUGGUGGGGUAAAGGCCUACCAAGGCGACGAUCUGUAGCUGGUCUGAGAGGACGACCAGCCACACUGGGACUGAGACACGGCCCAGACUCCUACGGGAGGCAGCAGUGGGGAAUUUUGGACAAUGGGCGAAAGCCUGAUCCAGCAAUGCCGCGUGUGUGAAGAAGGCCUUCGGGUUGUAAAGCACUUUUGUCCGGAAAGAAAACGCCGUGGUUAAUACCCGUGGCGGAUGACGGUACCGGAAGAAUAAGCACCGGCUAACUACGUGCCAGCAGCCGCGGUAAUACGUAGGGUGCAAGCGUUAAUCGGAAUUACUGGGCGUAAAGCGUGCGCAGGCGGUCCGCUAAGACAGAUGUGAA